AAAAGUGAAAUCUUUUAUUUUUUGUCUUUUGUUCUAUCGGUCCUAAGCAAGGAAGAAAGUGCAUGAAUUGAUCAAAAGGUUCUAAAAGUAUUAAAUUAAGUAAUGGGUCAAGGCUUCCAAGUAAUCUUUCUGCAAACUGGAAUUUGUGCUUUAAGCCAAACAAUUCUUUCACCAAAACUAGUAUUUGUAACCAUAGUUUUCUCCCAUAUCCUGUGGUGUUUUCAGGUACCUUUGAUUACGCUUGCUACAAUGACUCUAUGGCUCGGACAGCCCCACCGUUCCCAAAACCUGAUCAUUUCUCGUAUUUCGAUCGUAACUAUCUAACCCCAUUUCAGUUUAAUCUCACCAUUCUCUUAAUCACUAAUUGUGCUGCCGCAUGAGCUGUUCAAGUUUUCUUCUGCUUUCUUUACCACAGCAUGCUUCUGGUCUUUCUGUGGGAACGGAACUUGUGCAAAGAAAUCCAGGUUUGGGCACCGCUGCCAGUGCCAUGAGGGCUUCAGCAAUCUUCUGAAUGCCACCAGCUUCCCUUGCUUCAGAGACUGUAAUGCCACAUGACUUCUAAUUAGUAGAGGAAUAAUAAUAAUGAUAACACAUAUGCUUACUACUAUAAUAUCAGUAGAAUACUGCUACAGAUUCACAUAGAGUGGUGAUGUUUUGCAGGUACUCUUGGGGCAGAUUGCACAAACCUGGGGUUUACCUUGUCAAAUUCCUCCUAUCCAUCUUCCCCACCUAAUUUUUCUAGUACACGCAGUGAAGGUGAGGUUGUUGUCCAAAUUAUUUCUACUCCUCCCUCUCAAUCAGGGAAAAAAAAUUGAAGACCAGUCAGUAGACGAAAAAAUACAUGAUUAAAUUUCUUUUUUUUUAAAAAACCAUAUGUCAUCAUGGGGUUCAAACAGUCAUGUGAUAACUCUCCAUGGCAGUCCAUGGUCUUCAAUCUAUCCAUGUCUAUGUCCAGCUUCAUGAGGCAGCUUAGCUCUCCAAUAAAAUGGGGAUUUGUUUGGAAAUUAAUGCUGGAUUUUUUAAUUUUAUACCAUGAAUUUUUUGUUCAUGGUUUCAUUGAAUGCUCCUGAAAUAAAUUUUAGGAUUANNN
RNAcentral lists this long non-coding RNA (1090 nucleotides) under Phoenix dactylifera (date palm). Its description in RNAcentral is "long non-coding RNA (PDAC_LNC003158)". Lineage: Eukaryota; Viridiplantae; Streptophyta; Magnoliopsida; Arecales; Arecaceae. The record is from RNAcentral.